AGCAUAGCCGCGGUAAUACAGAGGGUGCGAGCGUUAAUCGGAUUUACUGGGCGUAAAGCGUGCGUAGGCGGCUAAUUGAGUCGGAUGUGAAAUCCCCGAGCUUAACUUGGGAAUUGCAUUCGAUACUGGUUAGCUAGAGUGUGGGAGAGGAUGGUAGAAUUCCAGGUGUAGCGGUGAAAUGCGUAGAGAUCUGGAGGAAUACCGAUGGCGAAGGCAGCCAUCUGGCCUAACACUGACGCUGAGGUACGAAAGCAUGGGGAGCAAACAGGAUUAGAUACCCCGGUAGUCCCUGUCUCUUAUACA
This 303-nucleotide ribosomal RNA is filed under the name uncultured bacterium. RNAcentral's name for it is "partial 16S ribosomal RNA". It matches the Rfam family "Bacterial small subunit ribosomal RNA", at positions 510 to 808 of the family's 1533-position model. The record is from RNAcentral.